This is a non-coding RNA of Cinara cedri, 246 nucleotides long. Lineage: Eukaryota; Metazoa; Arthropoda; Insecta; Hemiptera; Aphididae. The record is from the annotation of a GenBank genome assembly.
CAAUGGUUAAUCGUUACGUACAGAUUAAAUUUCCCCUCUACUACCUUCCCAGCAUCUGCAACCGUCCCCAUUAUUCUAGGACAGCUUUUUUAAAGUUUGCCGUUCACCAAAGAUUUGAUUGUGUGAACCGGGCUUAGACCUUAAGGUGUUAUAAAUUAUUUUGGCAGGAAUGCGAGUACAGGCAUGGCCAUAAAAUCGUAGUUGUACAUAGUAUACUACUACUUUCCCCCUACCCAAGUUUAAAGU